This is a long non-coding RNA of Choloepus didactylus (southern two-toed sloth), 608 nucleotides long. RefSeq lists it as uncharacterized. The transcript has 3 exons. The record is from RefSeq and is a predicted model, not a curated record. Lineage: Eukaryota; Metazoa; Chordata; Mammalia; Pilosa; Megalonychidae.
UUGGCUUGAGUGGUUGUUUGGGCAAACCCUAGCCUAGAUGUUGCCCAGAAGGUAUUUUGUGGAUGAGAUUAGCAUCUAUAAUCUGUUGACUUUAAGUAAAAGAGAUCAUUCGACCAUUCUCUAUAAUAUGAGUGGGCCUCCUCCAGUCACUUGAGCAAGAAAGUUUCCCAAGGAAGAAGAAAUUCUGCCUCAAGACGACAUAUACUCCUGGCCUGCCGCCUGUUUUUAAUUACUUCAAGUCCAAGGCCUGCUUCCUCGAAUUGCCACAACCUUGCGCCACUGUGGGUGAGCAGAUUCUGAGGCCGGGGAGGCAGCCACUCGUGAAGGCUCGAAGGGCCACAGCUGCUGUAGUAGCAGCAGCACCUGCCCCCCACCCCGCGUCCCAGCCCCCUGCAGCUCAGUCCCCGGAUCAGACACUGCAGUAAUUGCUUUUGGAAACAGGGAGACCCGUGGAGUGGCUCCAGCAGUUUUCCUUUCCUUUCGGGUUAUACUGAAUCAUUAAUGAAUGCAUUUAUUUAUUGAAUUUUCAGCUUGUUCAGUAAGGUGUAGCAGAGUGUGCAUAUGAGAGAAUGGAAAAAAAAAAAAAAGAGAAUAAAUUAAAUGUCAUU